Molecule: unclassified non-coding RNA, 387 nt
Filed under: soil metagenome
Description: partial contains 5.8S ribosomal RNA, internal transcribed spacer 2, and large subunit ribosomal RNA
Rfam family: 5.8S ribosomal RNA (bases 1-120)
Source: RNAcentral
GAUGAAGAACGUAGCGAAAUGCGAUAAGUAAUGUGAAUUGCAGAAUUCAGUGAAUCAUCGAAUCUUUGAACGCACCUUGCGCUCCUUGGUAUUCCGAGGAGCAUGCCUGUCUGAGUGUCAUGAAAUUCUCAACCUUUUCAGCUUUCUUUGUUGAUCAGGCUUGGAUGUGGGAGUAUGCGGGCUUCUCAGAAGUCGGCUCUCCUGAAAUGCAUUAGCGGGACCUUUGUUGCCUGGCUUUGGUGUGAUAAUUAUCUACGCCAUUGUAGUCAAGCAACUUAAAAUGAGGUUUCAGCUUCUAACCGUCUCCCCUGAGACAACUUUUUGACAAUUUGACCUCAAAUCAGGUAGGACUACCCGCUGAACUUAAGCAUAUCAAUAAGCGGAGGA